RNAcentral lists this long non-coding RNA (5231 nucleotides) under Homo sapiens (human). Its description in RNAcentral is "HSALNT0389606". Lineage: Eukaryota; Metazoa; Chordata; Mammalia; Primates; Hominidae. The record is from RNAcentral.
CUUUUUGAGGCAGCUACCAGAAGGGAGCACCAAGCAGAUGCAGCUCCCCUUCCCUCCCAUUCCACCAUCCACUGUCCCCAGCAAGAACCUGCGGGAGGGUGGCCCAAUGGGGAGGCCAGACCCUCCUAGACCAGCUGGAACCACCAUCAAGAUGUCCCCAGCCAUGUCAGACUCUGGGGCCCCAGGCGGAGGGCAACCAGAUGUCUUCAGCUCCAAGUCUGGCCUCUCCUCCCAGCAAGCAGCCACCUCUGAUGGCCAACAGGUGCUGCUGUGUGCCCAGAUCAAGAAUCCACCUCUGCGGAAUUCAAAACCGCUGAGGGUUCUGGGACAGCAGGGAGGAGAGAGGUGGAGACGCAACAUGGGUUUUCUGUGUUCAGACUGCAGAGACCUUGGAAAGGAUCAACCAUAUACAAUGUCCAUUUCCUGCCCUCUAACCUGGCAGGGGAGCAAGGCCCAGCCAAGGAGUUACAGAAACUGAGGCUUGGCCAGGCGUGGUGGCUCACACCUGCAAUCUCAGCACUGGGAGGCCAAGGUGGGCAGAUCGCUUGAGCCCAGGAGUUUGAGACCAGCCCGAGGAACAUGGCGAAACCCCAUCUCUACAAAAAAUACAGAAAUUAGCCAAGUGUGGUGGCACGUGUCUGUAGUUUCAGCUACUCAGGAGGCUUAGGUGGGAGGAUCACCUGAGCCUGGGAGGUAGAGGUUGCAAUGAGCAGAGAUUGCUCUCCAGCCAGGGAGACAGAGUGAGACCCUGUCCCAAAAUAAAUAAAUAAAUAAGAAUAAAAUUUAAAAAAGAAACUGAGGCUCAAAGAGAACAAGUGACUAGUUCAAGGACUCAUUUUCACUAAGCUGGGACCAGAUCCCAGGGUUCUAACCGCUUACCAGAUCCUUUUCCAUUACCCUCUUGUUUAACCACAUCUUGAGUACCUGCUGUGGGCCAGGAGCUGAGAUACUUUGGAGAGUCUUUCAGGAAUAUUGUCCCAGCUCCUGAAACCUUUAGGGAUCCCCAAGUUCUAGACUCUGGCCAAAGCCGGCUGCCUUCACCCCCACCAAGGGAGACCCCCACAAACCAAGGGAGCCCUGCUCUCAGGUGCACAGGGCCUCUUCUCUCUGGGAGGUGACAGUUUUUUGAGGGUGGGGCCAGACACCUCCCAGGCUAUCCCUCACAGGAGAGGAUGGUCUGGACUGGAGGAGUAGAAGCAAGUAGGCACUGGGGAAGGGGAGGAGAGCGUCCUGAGUCCCAAGGGUCAGAGAUAGGAGCAAGAAGGAAACUGACGUGUUGCAGGGCGUGUGGUUAAGGAAGUGAGAGAGGGGCUCAGGGUCGAUUCUGCCUGCUUUUCCUUCCUCCAGCUUGCUCAGCACUCUUCCCAGAAUGUGGGCCCCAAACUGCCAGGUGACAAACAAUGCCCCCACCCCAAGAGAGUCAUCCAGCAUGUUUGAAGCUCCAUCUGGUCCUGUACACCAGUUGCACACCACCAAACGCAGACCCAUGACCACUCCACAACCUCGCACACAGACAGGGCAAAUCCCACCACAGAUCCGUGCAUCCCAGGCAUGCAGGCAAUGCGAUACUGACACAUGCCCGCCCCGCCCACGCCUGGGCCUCUGAACCCUGCUCCAGUCUCCUCAGUCAAGGGCGGCGGCCCCCUCAGGCCUCUUCCACCCUUUUGCCCCAUUCAGAUGCCUGGUUCCCAGCAUUGCUUGGGUAGAGACUCCCGCCUGACAAGCCCCAGCAGGCCAAGUUGAUGAGCCGGCCAAGCAAGCCUGUGUCUCCGCAGCGCCCUCCAUGUACACAUAACCCCCAUCACCGGGAACCUGGGCACCCCGCACUGGCACUAUGUCUGGCCCACGGGUAGGGGAUGGUUCCCAGGGUCUCCCCAGACCCAGUGCUCUUCCCCUGUAGGGCCACUCUUGCCCAGGGUUAGGAUGGACUGUGCUCCCUCUCCCUCAAACUAGGCCAGAGCCACGGAAGCCUGGGAAGGGAGAUGAGGAAGCACUUGUCACUCCAGACAUCCCACCACCAUCAGGGAGGUGGGCUGAGAUAAUGCCAAAUGCACAAAAUCCUCAAAAUCUGUCUGGGCAUGAUGAUUCAUGCCUAUAAUCCCAGCACUCUGGGAGGCCAAGGCAGGAGGAUCGCUUGAGCCCAGAAGUUCAAGACCAGCCUGGGCAACACAGCGAAACCCCGUCUCUACAAAAAAUAUAAAAAUUAGCCAGGUGUGGUAGUGCAUGCCUGUGGUCUCAACUACUCAGGAGGCUGAGGUGGGGAGGAUCACCUGAACCCAGGGAGGUCAAGGCUGCAGUGUGAGACCCGGUCUCAAAAAAAAAAAAAAAAAGGCUGGGCAACUUGGCAAGACCCCAUCUCUACAAAAAAUUUAAAAAUUAAUCGGGGAUGGUGGCGUGCACCUCUGGUCCCAGCUAUUCAGGAGGCUAAGGUGGGAAGAUCACUUGAGCCCAGGAAGUCAAGGGUGCAGUGAGCUGUGUUCGCGCCACUGCACUCCAGCCUGGGUGACGGACCAAGACCCUGUCUCAAAAAAAAAAAAAAAAAAAAAACUCCCCAAGUUCUUUCAGUGGCAGCACAGCUCAGGGGCUGACACACGGGAUCUGGAGUCCUCUGGAGGCUGAGUCAGAGCCCUAUCUCUACCACUUUCUAGAUAUGAGACUUUGGGUGAGUUACUUAACCUCUUUAAGCCUUGGUUCCUCAUCAAUAAAAUGGUAAUGACAUGUAUUUCCACCUCAAAGGUUGUUGGGAGGAUUAAGUAAAUUAAAGAAAGUCUUAGCACAGGCUCAGAGCACAUAGUAGGGAUUUAAUAAAUGCAGGCUGUUUCGACGGCUUUUUGGAUAGUCAUCACAGUCACACUGACAUUCAGACAUGCAGACACUCAGCCAUGGAUACACAAAGACACGGUGACACAUGUGGACGCUCAUAGACCCAGGCAAGCUCAUCCUUCCCGGCAUCACCCCCACCUCCCACUGCCAGCCUCAGGUUCCUACAGGCUCUUGACGUGCCCCAGUUCCUCCCAAGCAGGGAGGAUUCAGUAGGAUCUCCCACUUCCUUGGCUGAACUUUGGCAAGCCCAGAGCACUACCUUAUGGGCCCUCUGGGAGUAGGGAAGGGGUGGGCAACAUGAGACCCCAGGAUGGGGCCUCUCCCAGCAGGCAAGGAGCAUGGCAAAGGUGCCAGGCUGGCAGGGUCUCCAGUGCCAGAGGAGGGCCAGUUCCUCCCUCAGGGACAACAGAGGAAGGGGAAACUAAAGAGGAGCCUCUUUCCUCUUGGUGGGAAAUGAGCACUUACAGAAAAGGGUGCGUCUAGCCAGCCACAAAGUAAACACCAGGGCCAUUGCCCAGGCAACAGCAGGCUGGCAUUGGGACAGGGCUUACCACAACCCCUCCGUACCCCUGAUUUACCCACUCAGCAGCCCUUGGCUGUCUCUGGGGUCUCCAUUCUGGUCUCUAGGCCUGUCUGCAGACUCCUCAAAGGGAAGAAGCUAUGCCUCCUCCAUCAGACUGUGUGCUCCUUGAAAACAAGGGAUUUUUGCCCCACAUCAGUCUAGGGUCUCCCAAAAGGCAUGGCCUGUGUCUUUCCCCUCAGAUUGGAGGAUGCCCAAGGGCCUGGCCUGAGUCUCCCCCUUAGACUGAGAGCUCCCUAAGGACAAUGGCUGCUGGGUUUUCAGAAUGGAUUUGCCCUCCUAGAGAGCUUUGUGCAUAGCGGGCUCUCAAAAAUUAUUUCUUUUUUUUUUUUUUUUUUUUUUUUUUUUCAGACGGAGUCUCUGUUGCCCAGGCUGGAGUGAAGUGGCGAGAUCUCGGCUCACUGCAACCUCCACCUCCUGUGUUCAAGUGAUUCUCCUGCCUCAGCCUCCCGAGUAGCUGGGAUUACAGGCACGUGCCACCACGCCCGGCUAAAUUUUGUAUUUUCAGUGGAGAUGGGGUUUCACCAUGUUGGCCAGGCUAAUCUCGAACUCCUGACCUCAAAUGAUCCACCCGCCUCGGCCUCCCGAAGUGCUGGGAUUACAGGCAUGAGCCACCAUGCCCAGCUCAAAAAUUAUUUCUUAAUGGUGAGGAUGUGGAGAAAUUGGAUUGCUGUGGGAAUGUAAAAUGGUGUGUCUGUGGCCAGGCACAGUGGCUCAUACCUGUAAUCCCAGUGUUUGGGAGGCCAGGAGUGCAAGACCAGCCUGGGAAACAUAUAGAGACCCCAUCUUUAUAAAAAAUGCAAAAUUGGCCAAACGUGAUGGCACACACUUGUAGUCCCAGCUACUUGGGAGGCUGAGGUGGGAGGAUCCCUUGAACCCAGGAGUUGGAGGCUGCAGUGAGCUAUGAUGCUAUGAUCACACUACUGCUCUUCAGCCUGGGCCACAGAGGAAGACUCCCUCUCUAAAAAAGCAAUAAAAAAUAAAUAAAUAAAAUGGUGGAGUUGCUAUGGAAAUCAGUAUGGCAGUUUCUCAAAAAAUUAAACAUGGACAGGAGGCUAAGGCAGGAGAAUCGCUUGAACCAGGGAGGCGGAGGUUGCAGUGAGCCAAGAGCGCGCCGUUGCACUCCAGCCUGGGCAACAAAAGUGAAACUCCGUCUCAAAAAAAAAAAAAAAAAAAUUAAACACAGAAUUACCAUAUGAUCCAGUAAUUCCACUUCUGGGUAUAUAUCCACAACAACUGAAAGCAGGGAUUAGAAGAAAUGUUUGUACACCCAUGUUUGUAGCAGUGUUAUUCACAACAGCCAAGAAAUGGAAGCAACCCAAGUGUCCAUCUACGGAUGAAUGGACAAAUAAAAUGAGGUAUAUCUAUACAAUGAAAUUGUCUGUAUUAUUGUAUUACAUAUAAUACAUACAUGAUAUGAAUAAUAAUAAUUGUAUUAUUUAGCCUUUUAAAAUAAGUGAAGGCCAGGCGGGGUGGCUUACACCUGUAAUCCCAGCACUUUGGGAGGCUGAGGUGGGAGGAUUACUUGAACCCAGGAGUUCUAGACCAGCCCGGGCAACAUGGUGAAACAACAUCUCUACCAAAAAAAAAAAAAAAAAAAAAAAUUAGCCAGGUGUGGUGGCACAUACAUGUAGUCCCAGCUGCUUGGGAGGCUAAGGUGGGAGGAUGGCUUGAGCACAGGAGAUGGAGGUUACAAUGAGCUGAAAUCGCGCCACUACACCUCAGCCUAGGGGAGCCAGACCUUGUCUCAAAAAAAAAAAAAAAAGAAAGAUAUUUGACACAUGCUACAAUGUGGAUGAACCUUGAAGACAUUAUGCUAAGUGAAAGG